Triticum aestivum (bread wheat) is the source of this 624-nucleotide long non-coding RNA. RefSeq lists it as uncharacterized. NCBI's taxonomy places the organism in Eukaryota, Viridiplantae, Streptophyta, Magnoliopsida, Poales, Poaceae. The record is from RefSeq and is a predicted model, not a curated record. The transcript has 2 exons.
UCCGCCUCGAGCGCCUCCUUCUCCCCCAUGCCCUCUGCCUCGCGCGCCUCCUCCUCCCACUCCAGCGCCGCCGCCGCCGCUACCCUCGGCCGCCUCCCUCUAUCCAGUGGUGUCGCCUCUCCUCCCCUAUACGUGCGCCGCCGCCCCUCCGCCCCCUCCUACCUGUCGCCGUCUCGCCGCUGCAGCCGUCCCCAAGGUGAGAAUGCUAUCAAGGCUAGGGUUCACCGGAAAGGAAGGAAAAAAUCCCCAUUCCCUCCGGCGUCUCUUACGCCCCCCUGCCGGCCUACUCUUCCUCUCGGAAGUAUCGUCUUCAUCCUCGACGCAGAAGGAUAGCACGGACUGCAGAGAUGCCCUGCCGCCGUGCUCCUUUUCGCCGAUCCCCUUCCACCAGAUUGGCUGAUGAGGGGAGGUCCAAUAGGUCCAUGGUGGGGAUGGAGCAACAAGGCCGGAGACCCAGGCGGCGGAUGCCUCAUGGGUAGAGGAGAGGUUGACAAUACGGACAAGGAGCAGCGGUGUCAUAUGGAUCUGCAGGGAGGCGUCUUCGAGGGAUGGCUGGUGUCAAUAUUUGUGUUGAUAUGCCCUACAUAUCGAGUUCAUCGUCCAAGCACCUUCUGCGGAAAGAAA